AGAGUUUGAUCCUGGCUCAGGAUGAACGCUGGCGGCAUGCCUUACACAUGCAAGUCGAACGGUAACGCGGGGCAACCUGGCGACGAGUGGCGAACGGGUGAGUAAUAUAUCGGAACGUGCCCAAUAGUGGGGGAUAGCCCGGCGAAAGCCGGAUUAAUACCGCAUGAGACCUGAGGGUGAAAGCGGGGGACUCGCAAGGGCCUCGCGCGAUUGGAGCGGCCGAUAUCAGAUUAGCUAGUUGGUGGGGUAAAAGCUCACCAAGGCGACGAUCUGUAGCUGGUCUGAGAGGACGACCAGCCACACUGGAACUGAGACACGGUCCAGACUCCUACGGGAGGCAGCAGUGGGGAAUUUUGGACAAUGGGCGCAAGCCUGAUCCAGCAAUGCCGCGUGCAGGAUGAAGGCCUUCGGGUUGUAAAGCUCUUUCAGCANGNGCGAAACGGUCGGCUUUAAUAAAGUCGGCUAAUGACGGUACCUGCAGAAGAAGCACCGGCUAACUACGUGCCAGCAGCCGCGGUAAUA
Molecule: ribosomal RNA, 522 nt
Filed under: uncultured bacterium
Lineage: Bacteria
Description: bacterial SSU rRNA
Rfam family: Bacterial small subunit ribosomal RNA
Source: RNAcentral